ACUUUUCGAGUUCAAGAGUACAUCGACCGUCAUUCGGGUCUUCCACUUAGGUCGUACACAGUUGAUCUGCAAAGCAGUCAGUGCGAGUACUGGUUAUUUCAGACUCUUCAAUAUCCGUGUGCGUAUGUUCAUGCAUCGUGUGUGAGAUCAAACUUAAAUGUUGAUCAAUUCAUAGACGAGAUCUACAUGUUGCAACGUACAUUGCAUAUAUGGGGGAAUAAAUUUCCUGUAAUCACCGAUGUCUCAAACUGGGAAGUUCCACUGCCUGCUUUCCAGAUAGUGCCUAACCAUAGUCUCCGUAGACAUCCUACAGUUCGACCACAAUCUACGAGAAUUCGAAAUGACAUGGACGUCAGGGAGAUGGGCGAACCCAAACUAUGCAUUGUGUGUAAAGCAUCUGGACACAACCGAUCAACUGACCCACAUCGUGUCUAUAUUUCCGGUUAAUCAUCUCAUAAUACCGGACUCUAAGAUGACGAAUGAUAUUCUACGACCGAAUUUUCAGCCUGGGUCAACACUGAAUAAACCCAAACCAAAUAAAAACAAAAAAAAACCACAAGCCCAAAUAAAAAAUGGCCCAAACGGCCCGAAACCUUAACUGGUUUCAGCAGGAACUGAAACCUUAAGUUGCCGCUCCCUCUGCUGCCCAUGUGCCUUCUUAGCGCGCACCACGCCCGAGGUCUG
This 684-nucleotide long non-coding RNA is filed under the name Gossypium raimondii (Peruvian cotton). RNAcentral's name for it is "long non-coding RNA (GRAI_LNC010928)". Lineage: Eukaryota; Viridiplantae; Streptophyta; Magnoliopsida; Malvales; Malvaceae. The record is from RNAcentral.